UUCAAAACAAUCAGGGCAAUAGACUCAGCCUCUUUUCUGCAAAUAAUUCUCCCAUUUUGAUAAUCAUAAUUCUCUUCUAAUGUUGGGUCGUCUGUGAUCCCCAGAUCCCCCGACCAAAAUCGGGAUGCCUCGAGGUUCGACCGUAGAGUCCCAAACUCCCUCGACCUCGGGAAGUAUCGCAGGACGAUGGAACAUCGACUUGGCGCAAGAUUCCCUCGACUAAGGUCGGGAUGCCCCGAGGGUCGACCGUAGAGUCCCAAACUCCCUCGACCUCGGGAAGCGUCGCAGGUCGAUAGCGCGUGCCCAGACCCAUCGACCUGACGAACGAUCCCUCGACUAAGGUCGGGAUGCCCCGAGGGUCGACCGUAAAGUCCCAAACUCCCUCAACCUCGGGAAGCGUCGCAGGUCGAUAGCGCGUGCCCAGACCCAUCGACCUGACGAACGAUCCCUCGACUAAGGUCGGGAUGCCCCGAGGGUCGACCGUAGAGUCCCAAACUCCC
Molecule: long non-coding RNA, 500 nt
Filed under: Phoenix dactylifera (date palm)
Lineage: Eukaryota; Viridiplantae; Streptophyta; Magnoliopsida; Arecales; Arecaceae
Description: long non-coding RNA (PDAC_LNC023037)
Source: RNAcentral